Molecule: small RNA, 106 nt
Filed under: Marmota monax (woodchuck)
Lineage: Eukaryota; Metazoa; Chordata; Mammalia; Rodentia; Sciuridae
Source: RNAcentral
GCUGGGCAUGGUGGCACAUGUCUGUAAUUCCAGCUACCUGGGAGGAUGAGGCAGGAGGAUCACAAGUCUGAGGUCAUCCCAGCAAUUUCGUGAGAUCCUGUCUCAA